Molecule: unclassified non-coding RNA, 1709 nt
Filed under: Amphimedon queenslandica
Lineage: Eukaryota; Metazoa; Porifera; Demospongiae; Haplosclerida; Niphatidae
Description: calcium/calmodulin-regulated receptor-like kinase 1, transcript variant X2
Source: RNAcentral
GAGAAUAACAAAGCAGGUAAUACUAAAAACACUAGUCUUCCUUCUCUCCUAAUCUCCUCCAGUUGCUCCAUAAGACUGUACCAUUUCCUCUUGAAAUAAUAAUAAUAGAAAGACUGUCAUACGUGGACCUAUCAUCAAUGAGAAAUUGAGAAUACGUAAGAACAACUAUGAGGAACAAAGAGAGACUUUAUAAUGAUGAUGAUCAUUAAUAAUAAGAUAAUGGUACAAUUAGCCUCAGCCUGAGCUAGUUACUGCUUGAUUGUCGUACUUGAUUGUGGAGGGAUUAGCAGUUGUAAAGUGAAGGAGUCUUCAUGGUUGUACUGGAGUAACAGUGUAGCUGUUAGGAUAAAGACAAUAUUAGAAUCAUUAUAUAAAGAAGAUAAUGGUGGUUGGUCUGUUACUGUGAGACAUGUAGAACAUGUUAAAUCAUAUGCACCUCAUGUUGAUCAUAUUGUAACUGAUAUUGAAUGUAGACCUUUUAAAACACUUUAAAGGAAAUUAUAAUCAACAUUAAGACUUAUACCUAAGUCAUCAUUGCCACUAGAUGAUUGAUGACCCUGACUAUCUAGUGAUCAUGAAGGGGCGGGGACCAACUAACUGAGCUAUGAGACCAUGACUGAGAAGGAGAAAAAUUUCAAAGAAAUCAGAGAAAGACUAGCCCACUUGGCUCUAACUGAUGUACAGGAGACUGGUAAAGAGUUAGGCCGUGGAGCUUAUGGUGUUAUUACUGAAGUAAUAGUUAGUGGAACAGCCUGUGCUGCUAAGAAGCUUCAUGAUGUUAUUGUAGGGGAGUAUUCUUUGAUAAUGUUUGGUAAUGAGGUGCUUCUUCACAGUCAGCAAAGGCAUCCUAACAUUGUCCAGCUAAUUGGUGUCUAUUAUCCUCCUCGUUCACAAUUACCAAUGUUAGUAAUGGAGUAUCUUUAUCACUCAGACAAUGUCUGGAGAGAGAAGAGCUACCACUUCAAAUGAAGUAUUCUAUUCUUGAUGUUGCUAAGGGUUUGUGUUAUCUUCAUGGUAAACGUCCUCCUAUAGUACAUUGUGACCUCACUGCUAAUAACGUGUUACUGACCUCUUCAUACUCAGCUAAGAUAUCAGAUCUAGGAGUGUCAAGAUUAGCCGAUACCUUUAAAAACCAUCACCUCACUACAGUACCUGGUAAUGCUAUGGUAAUGCCACCAGAAAAUCUUGAAGAUAAUCCGUGGUCGAUUCCCUCAGCCUACAGACCAGUUUAUACAAAAACCAGGAAGGGCGAAGUCUUUCAAAAAAGUACAAGAAUGGGACAGAAGGUCCAAAUAUAUAGAGCAAAUUCCAAAGGAAAAUGAACUCGUUCCAUUAGCUCAGAAAUGCCUAAAUGAUGACCCUAAGUAUAGACCAGAUAUGACUGAGCUGGCUCAAAAACUUUCAAAGUUGAAAAUUGUAGAUCUAGAAGCAAUAGAAACUGGAGUAAGAGCCACUCUAGCAGUGAAUGAAGAGGAAGAAAAUACUGCAUCUGUUACUCAAGUAAUGUACACUUUAGUUGUGCAACAUGAAAAGAAAGGAGUUGGUUACUGGAUAACUACAUUUUCUGUUGUUAGAGAUAUUAAACUUUACAAUGAGAAUACACAUUUUGCUGAUAAAGAGCGAGGGUCAGUUUUUACAUUCCAAUACAAUCAACCUAAUGGCGUCCUUUCAGGUGUCUAUACAUAAUCCUCCACCACUUAAAUCAGGAU